This 814-nucleotide ribosomal RNA is filed under the name Bacillus amyloliquefaciens. RNAcentral describes it as "bacterial SSU rRNA". It matches the Rfam family "Bacterial small subunit ribosomal RNA", at positions 57 to 855 of the family's 1533-position model. Lineage: Bacteria; Bacillati; Bacillota; Bacilli; Caryophanales; Bacillaceae. The record is from RNAcentral.
GCAGUCGAGCGGACAGAUGGGAGCUUGCUCCCUGAUGUUAGCGGCGGACGGGUGAGUAACACGUGGGUAACCUGCCUGUAAGACUGGGAUAACUCCGGGAAACCGGGGCUAAUACCGGAUGGUUGUUUGAACCGCAUGGUUCAGACAUAAAAGGUGGCUUCGGCUACCACUUACAGAUGGACCCGCGGCGCAUUAGCUAGUUGGUGAGGUAACGGCUCACCAAGGCGACGAUGCGUAGCCGACCUGAGAGGGUGAUCGGCCACACUGGGACUGAGACACGGCCCAGACUCCUACGGGAGGCAGCAGUAGGGAAUCUUCCGCAAUGGACGAAAGUCUGACGGAGCAACGCCGCGUGAGUGAUGAAGGUUUUCGGAUCGUAAAGCUCUGUUGUUAGGGAAGAACAAGUGCCGUUCAAAUAGGGCGGCACCUUGACGGUACCUAACCAGAAAGCCACGGCUAACUACGUGCCAGCAGCCGCGGUAAUACGUAGGUGGCAAGCGUUGUCCGGAAUUAUUGGGCGUAAAGGGCUCGCAGGCGGUUUCUUAAGUCUGAUGUGAAAGCCCCCGGCUCAACCGGGGAGGGUCAUUGGAAACUGGGGAACUUGAGUGCAGAAGAGGAGAGUGGAAUUCCACGUGUAGCGGUGAAAUGCGUAGAGAUGUGGAGGAACACCAGUGGCGAAGGCGACUCUCUGGUCUGUAACUGACGCUGAGGAGCGAAAGCGUGGGGAGCGAACAGGAUUAGAUACCCUGGUAGUCCACGCCGUAACGAUGAGUGCUAAGUGUUAGGGGUUUCCGCCCCUUAGUGCUGCAGCUAA